AGGGCUGUGGCACAGUUGGGAGGGUGCCUGGUUUGCGUGCAGGUGGCCCCAGGUUCAAUCCAUGCCAUCUCAG
This is a non-coding RNA of Podarcis lilfordi (Lilford's wall lizard), 73 nucleotides long. NCBI's taxonomy places the organism in Eukaryota, Metazoa, Chordata, Lepidosauria, Squamata, Lacertidae. The record is from the annotation of a GenBank genome assembly.